RNAcentral lists this ribosomal RNA (433 nucleotides) under uncultured bacterium. RNAcentral describes it as "partial 16S ribosomal RNA". It matches the Rfam family "Bacterial small subunit ribosomal RNA", at positions 29 to 507 of the family's 1533-position model. The record is from RNAcentral.
AACGAACGCUGGCGGCAUGCCUAACACAUGCAGGUCGAACGAGACCUUCGGGUCUAGUGGCGCACGGGUGCGUAACGCGUGGGAACCUGCCCUUAGGUUCGGAAUAACUCCCCGAAAGGGGUGCUAAUACCGGAUAAUGUCUUCGGACCAAAGAUUUAUCGCCUUUGGAUGGGCCCGCGUUGGAUUAGCUAGUUGGUAGGGUAAAAGCCUACCAAGGCGACGAUCCAUAGCUGGUCUGAGAGGAUGAUCAGCCACACUGGGACUGAGACACGGCCCAGACUCCUACGGGAGGCAGCAGUGGGGAAUAUUGGACAAUGGGCGAAAGCCUGAUCCAGCAAUGCCGCGUGAGUGAUGAAGGCCUUAGGGUUGUAAAGCUCUUUUACCCGGGAUGAUAAUGACAGUACUGGGAGAAUAAGCGCCGGCUAACUCCGUG